CCUACGGGAGGCAGCAGUGAGGGAUAUUGGUCAAUGGGGGAAACCCUGAACCAGCAACGCCGCGUGAGGGAAGACGGUUUUCGGAUUUUAAACCUCUGUCCUCUGUGAAGAUAAUGACGGUACCUGAAGAAGAAGCCCCGGCUAACUACGUGCCAGCAGCCGCGGUAAUACGUAGGGGGCAAGCGUUAUCCGGAUGUACUGGGUGUAAAGGGGGCGCAGACGGCGAUGCAAGCCAGGAGUGAAAGCCCGGGGCCCAACCCCGGGACUGCUCUUGGAACUGCGUGGCUGGAGUGCAGGAGGGGCAGGCGGAAUUCCUGGUGUAGCGGUGAAAUGCGUAGAUAUCAGGAGGAACACCGGUGGCGAAGGCGGCCUGCUGGACUGCAACUGACGUUGAGGCCCGAAAGCGUGGGGAGCAAACAGGAUUAGAUACCCUUGUAGUC
RNAcentral lists this ribosomal RNA (440 nucleotides) under uncultured bacterium. RNAcentral's name for it is "partial 16S ribosomal RNA". It matches the Rfam family "Bacterial small subunit ribosomal RNA", at positions 338 to 795 of the family's 1533-position model. The record is from RNAcentral.